UAGGGAAUCUUCGGCAAUGGGGGCAACCCUGACCGAGCAACGCCGCGUGAGUGAAGAAGGUUUUCGGAUCGUAAAGCUCUGUUGUAAGAGAAGAACGAGUGUGAGAGUGGAAAGUUCACACUGUGACGGUAACUUACCAGAAAGGGACGGCUAACUACGUGCCAGCAGCCGCGGUAAUACGUAGGUCCCGAGCGUUAUCCGGAUUUAUUGGGCGUAAAGCGAGCGCAGGCGGUUAGAUAAGUCUGAAGUUAAAGGCUGUGGCUUAACCAUAGUACGCUUUGGAAACUGUUUAACUUGAGUGCAGAAGGGGAGAGUGGAAUUCCAUGUGUAGCGGUGAAAUGCGUAGAUAUAUGGAGGAACACCGGUGGCGAAAGCGGCUCUCUGGUCUGUAACUGACGCUGAGGCUCGAAAGCGUGGGGAGCAAACAGGAUUAGAUACCCUGGUAGUCCACGCCGUAAACGAUGAGUGCUAGGUGUUGGGUCCUUUCCGGGACUCAGUGCCGCAGCUAACGCAUUAAGCACUCCGCCUGGGGAGUACGACCGGAAGGUUG
Molecule: ribosomal RNA, 550 nt
Filed under: uncultured bacterium
Lineage: Bacteria
Description: bacterial SSU rRNA
Rfam family: Bacterial small subunit ribosomal RNA
Source: RNAcentral